RNAcentral lists this ribosomal RNA (353 nucleotides) under uncultured bacterium. RNAcentral describes it as "bacterial SSU rRNA". It matches the Rfam family "Bacterial small subunit ribosomal RNA", at positions 8 to 350 of the family's 1533-position model. The record is from RNAcentral.
AGAGUUUGAUCAUGGCUCAGGAUGAACGCUAGCUACAGGCUUAACACAUGCAAGUCGAGGGGAAACGAUAUUGGAAGCUUGCUUCCGAUAGGCGUCGACCGGCGCACGGGUGAGUAACGCGUAUCCAACCUGCCCACCACUUGGGGAUAACCUUGCGAAAGUAAGACUAAUACCCAAUGAUACCUCUAGAAGACAUCUGAAAAGAGAUUAAAGAUUUAUCGGUGAUGGAUGGGGAUGCGUCUGAUUAGCUUGUUGGCGGGGUAACGGCCACCAAGGCUACGAUCAGUAGGGGUUCUGAGAGGAAGGUCCCCCACAUUGGAACUGAGACACGGUCCAAACUCCUACGAGAGGCA